This 3783-nucleotide long non-coding RNA is filed under the name Nicotiana tabacum (common tobacco). RNAcentral describes it as "long non-coding RNA (NTAB_LNC007123)". The record is from RNAcentral. Lineage: Eukaryota; Viridiplantae; Streptophyta; Magnoliopsida; Solanales; Solanaceae.
UUGGAUGUACAUGAAUGUUUUUGUCUAGACAGUUGUGUUAUCGUACUCAUUGUCUAGAUCAAUGUAAACUGUGCGAGCAUUGAAAUGGUCUAUUUUAACUCCUCCUUUGAGUUUUAUUUGUGCUAUGAAGCAUCUCCUUAUCAAUUCCAUUCGAGGCAUUGUGUUAAGGACUUUCCCUACAAUUGUAUAUUGGCAUCUAGAUGCAAGUGUGAUCAUGUAGUCCUUCUUAGUGAAGAUGACAGUUGGUUGGCCCUGUUUGGUAGUUAUUUUUGGAGGUGUGAACUCUAUUGGAGCUAUUUCUGCUGCCUGCCUUGCUCUUAACUUUGUAGCAUGUGAUUGUGUUAUGGUUGGAGGUGAUGGGACAGGAUAGUUAGUUGGUUUAUAUGGCUGGGCAGUGUCUUCUGUUUGAUUUAGUGUGGCUGCUGAUUUAGAGUCGUAAAACUGGGUACUUUGGUGAACAUUUGCAGAUGGUUGGAAGGAGUGUGUAUGUUUUGGUAUAUGAAAACUGUCUAAGAUGUUUGGAUGUGUGUUUGCAGCUAAUGCAUUGAUUGUUUCGCUAUGAUGUUUGGUAUGUUGUGUAGUUUCUUUUAGUGCUAAGGUUGGAGUGUUGGUGUGAUGGUGCUUAGUCAUAGCUGUGUUUUUAUUCUGGAAAGCAGGUGCUUUGUCAAAGAUUGUGGAGAUCUUAGGAAAGUUUGAUGGAAUUGGCAUUUGAGUGAGUUGGGGAUUAGUUUGAAAAUUGAGAUUCCUAGAUAAAUAAGUCGGUGAUGUAUUAGACAAAUGUGUUGCAGAAACAUUACCCGAAUAUGCCAAGUUUGUUGUUGUAGGGAUUGGCUGAGCUUGAGCAGUAGGAGCUGGUGCAACUUCCUUCUCCUUAACAAUAGAAAGUUGCUCGGCUGACGUUAGGUCAGUUGAAAUACCAGGAACUCCAUGAACAGUCAGUGAAACAUUCAAAUUUUCCGCCAUUGGACGAGCAUCAAUGAUAUCAACUAGAGUUUGAAAUUGGACAUGCGGGUGACCUUCAGCAACAUAUGGAGGAUUUUUUCGACCAAUUGAGUCUCAAUUGGGUUUGUCGCGCUGGUUUGGACAUUUUGUCGAGCACCUUCUGUGGGCGGAUUAGCAGAGGUCGGUGUACCGAUUGUAAUGGAGUUUGACACAAUGAGGUGUUGUUUUUAUUGCUCAGCAAUCAUUCCAAAACCUACAGAUACCAUUUCAUAUUGAUUUUGUUCCAAUUGGACAUCUUGUUCAUCAUCUCCUGCCAACUUGUGGUCUCCGUCAUUUUACAGCUAGGUAAUGCUCAUAAAUCCCAUGGUUGAAAGCUCUGAGUUUUUGACAGGGUGUUGUGUUUGAAUCGGAGCAAGAAUUCUACUUCUUUACGUUUGUCGAUUUGGCCCAGAAGUUAUUUGAGUUAUUCUUGGAAAAUCCAGACGCCCUAUCGCUACAGUGACCCCUUCCCCUUUUUGCGAAUAUGUAGCGCGUUGUUUGGAUUUGUCGGAUGAAAUGACCUGAGAUUUUAUAGAUGUGUUAUUGAGUAUUAUUUGGGACAGGUCUGGAGGCAUUUCUCCACCUAAAGGCGGAUUUGUGCCCUUUCCAGUGUGAGCGUAACCUUAGCACCGGAAAUCGCCAAUUGUAUAGAGCGUUUUUGCUGUGAGGGGGGUUUGAAAUAGUUGUAGUGCUAAUUCAGGAAUUGUUUUCCAUUUUUACGUUUAGUGUUCUUGGACUAUGCGCAGGUUACAGGUUAGUUUGGUGCAUGACUCGAGCUUCUGCGAAGAAAGUGCUACCAUACGAGCCAGAAAUUAAAAAACUACUACAAUAGCUGAGGAAGGAAAGAAAUCUCACCGAGACAUCAGGAAAGGUUGGGCAAUCCUCAACAAAAGAAGAUAUGGCUGGAACCGGUGAUGAUAAUACAGAUUUGGUUGCGAGAGAAGUAGCCCAACGACGAGAACAAGUUGCACGGGAUGCUGAAGAAGCAACUAUAAGAGAUGCAGACCAGUUUGGAAAUAUAGCUCCCAUUCCUGGGAGACCACUUAGCGAUUAUACUAGACCAGUCUACAAUCAAGGAUUAUCAAGUGUUAGACCACCUCCAAUUGCAGCAAACAAUUUCAAGUUAAAGCAAAGGUUUCUUCAAACCCUUCUGAAUUGUUGUGCCUUCAGAAGGAAGCCAAACGAAGAUCCAAACACAUAUCUAAUGGACUUUGAGGAGAUUAUGAACACCUUUCAAUACAAUGGUGUGUCACAAGAUGUAGUGUAUCUAAGGGUAUUCCCCUUUUUCCUUAAAUAUGAUGCAAAGUAGUGGCUUCGAAGCUUACCCACAGAAUCAAUUAGAACAUGGGAGGAGAAGACCAAAAAAUUCCUUGAUAAGUAUUUCUCAUUAGGCAAGACGGGCAAAUUUAGAAGAGAAAUCCAUAAUAUCUUCCAUAAAGAGAAUGAAACUGUUUUUGAAGAAUGGGAGAGGUUUAAGGAGAUUGUUACAAAGUGUCAACAUAGUGGAAUUGAACUCUGGAUGCAACUACUAAUUAAAUCAGUAGAUGUUGUAUUAGACAAAUGUGUUGCACAAACAUUACUUGAAGAUGCCAAGUUUGUUGUUGUAGGGAUUGGUUGAGCUUGAGUAGUAGGAGUUGGUGCAACUUCCUUCUCCUUAUCAAUAUAAAGUUGCUCGACUAACGUUAGGCCAGUUGAAAUACCAGGAACUCCAUGGGCAGUCAGUGAAACACUCAAAUUUUCCACCAUUGGUCGAGCAUCAAUGAUAUCAACUGGAGUUCGAAACUGGACAUGUGGGCGACCAUCAGCAACAUAUGGAGGAUGUUUUCGACCAAUUGAGUCUCAAUUGGGUUUGUCGUGCUGGUUUCGACAUUUUGUCGACCACCUUCUGUGGGCGGAUUAGAAGAGUUUAUUGCAUCGAUUGUAAUGGGGUUUGGCACAAUGAGGUAUUAUUUUUGUUGCUCGGCAAUCAUUUCCAAACUUGCAGAUACCAUUUCACAUUGAUUUUGUUCCAAUUCGACAUCUUAUUCAUCAUCUCUUUCCAGCAUGUGCUCUUCGUGGUUUUGCAGCUGGGUGAUGCUCACAAAUCCCUUGGUUGAAAGCUCUGAGUUUUUGGUGGGUUGUUGUUUUAAUUGGAGGAAGAAUUCCAGUUCUUUGUGUUUGUCGAUUUGGCCCAGAAGUUAUCUGAGUUAUUCUUGGAGAAUCCAGACGCCCUAUCGCUACAGUGACUCUUCCCCUUUUUGCGAAUCUAUAGCGCGUUGUAUGGAUUUGUCAGAGGAAAUGAACUGAGAUUUGGUAGAUGUGUUAUUGAGUAUUAUUUGAGACAGGUCUGGAGGAAUUUCUCCACCUAAAGGCGGAUUUGUACCCAUUCCAGUGUGAGCAUAACCUUAGCGCCGGAAAUCACCAAUUGUAGAGGGCGUUUUUACUGUCGGGGGGUGGGGGGUGGUUUGAAAUAGUUUGUAGUGCUAAUUGAGGAAUGUUUUAUCCCUUUUUACGUUUAGUGUUCUUGGACUGUACGCAGGUUACAGGUUAGAUAGGUGCAUGACUCGAGCUUAUGCGAAGGAAGGGCUACCAUACGAGCAAGAUAUUGAAAAAUGGCUAUGAUAGUUGAGAAAGGAAAGAAAUCUCACAGAUACAUCAGGAAAGGUUGGGCAAUCCUCAACCAAAGAAGAUAUGGCUGGAACCGGUGAUGAUAAUGUAGAUUUGGCUAUGCGAGAAGCAUCCCAACGAUAAGAACAAGUUGCACGGGAUGUUGAAGAAGCAACUAUUAGAGAUGCACAUAUUAUCUAUGAAGAAGAGAGGGGU